Non-coding RNA from Pangasius djambal, 72 nucleotides. Lineage: Eukaryota; Metazoa; Chordata; Actinopteri; Siluriformes; Pangasiidae. The record is from the annotation of a GenBank genome assembly.
GACCACUGGGCUUAAUGGUUAGAGAGUCGGACCUGUAACCCGAAGGUCACGGGUUCGAGUCGCAGGCCGGCA